GGGGCGGCGCGCCGGUGCUUACGGUGGUGCGUGCAUGCCGCGCAUGCCGGAGACGUCUCGGAAUCGGCGUGGUGCGGUCCCCGUGCCGGCUCC
Molecule: transfer RNA, 93 nt
Filed under: Streptomyces caniferus
Lineage: Bacteria; Bacillati; Actinomycetota; Actinomycetes; Kitasatosporales; Streptomycetaceae
Description: tRNA-Met
Source: RNAcentral